Molecule: ribosomal RNA, 467 nt
Filed under: uncultured bacterium
Lineage: Bacteria
Description: partial 16S ribosomal RNA
Rfam family: Bacterial small subunit ribosomal RNA
Source: RNAcentral
GACGAACGCUGGCGGCGUGCUUAACACAUGCAAGUCGAACGAUGACGACCGAGCUUUCUCGGUCUGAUUAGUGGCGAACGGGUGAGUAACACGUGAGCAACCUGCCCUUCACUCUGGGAUAACCUCGGGAAAUCGGGGCUAAUACCGGAUAUGAUCUCCUGUCGCAUGGCGGUCGUUGGAAAGUUUUUCGGUGAAGGAUGGGCGCGCGGCCUAUCAGUUUGUUGGUGAGGUAGUGGCUCACCAAGGCGAUGACGGGUAGCCGGCCUGAGAGGGCGACCGGCCACAAUGGGACUGAGAGACGGACCAGACUCCUACGGGAGGCAGCAGUGGGGAAUAUUGCGCAAUGGGCGAAAGCCUGAUGCAGCGACGCCGCGUGAGGGAUGACGGCCUUCGGGUUGUAAACCUCUUUCAGCAGGGAAGAAGCGAAAGUGACGGUACCUGAAGAAGAAGCGACGGCUAACUACGUG